AGUGAGAUAGCAGGGUCAAAUGGUGGUUCCAUUCCAAGUUUUCUGAGGAAUCUCCAUACUGCUUUCCAUAGUGGUGGUUCCAAUUUGCAGUCCCAUCAGCAAU
This 103-nucleotide microRNA precursor is filed under the name Marmota monax (woodchuck). Lineage: Eukaryota; Metazoa; Chordata; Mammalia; Rodentia; Sciuridae. The record is from RNAcentral.